Paramuricea clavata is the source of this 238-nucleotide non-coding RNA. The record is from the annotation of a GenBank genome assembly. Lineage: Eukaryota; Metazoa; Cnidaria; Anthozoa; Malacalcyonacea; Plexauridae.
GCCUUCUUAAUAUCUGUGUCGUCCGUGCUACGUUUGUUACGUGUUGUGCCGUGUUCCCGUUUCUCAAAGACUUGAAGUCCAAAAUCUUUUCUUCUUCCAGAGCGUUCAACCUGUCCUUGAAAUCCUUCAAGGAGGCAAAGUUCUUUGCGACCACGGCCAAAAGAACAGCGACAACCACAAAUAAUACAAGCAAAAGUACUUUCAUGACAAAGUACGAACGAUGCUUGCUUGUUUCGUG